AUUGAACGCUGGCGGCAUGCUUUACACAUGCAAGUCGAACGGCAGCGCGGGCUUCGGCCUGGCGGCGAGUGGCGAACGGGUGAGUAAUACAUCGGAACGUGCCCAGUAGUGGAGGAUAGAUCGGCGAAAGCCGGAUUAAUACCGCAUACGACCUGAGGGUGAAAGCGGGGGAUCUUCGGACCUCGCGCUAUUGGAGCGGCCGAUGGCAGAUUAGCUAGUUGGUGGGGUAAAGGCCUACCAAGGCGACGAUCUGUAGCUGGCCUGAGAGGACGACCAGCCACACUGGGACUGAGACACGGCCCAGACUCCUACGGGAGGCAGCAGUGGGGAAUUUUGGACAAUGGGCGAAAGCCUGAUCCAGCAAUGCCGCGUGUGUGAUGAAGGCCUUCGGGUUGUAAAGCACUUUUGGCGGGAACGAAAAGGACUGUGCCAAUACCACGGUUCGAUGACGGUACCCGCAGAAUAAGCACCGGCUAACUACGUG
RNAcentral lists this ribosomal RNA (484 nucleotides) under uncultured bacterium. RNAcentral describes it as "partial 16S ribosomal RNA". It matches the Rfam family "Bacterial small subunit ribosomal RNA", at positions 29 to 507 of the family's 1533-position model. The record is from RNAcentral.